GAGCGUUACAGCUCUUUUAGAAGAUGUCAAGCAGGUUUCCUGGUCCACACUGGGAAACCCAA
Small nuclear RNA from Delphinapterus leucas (beluga whale), 62 nucleotides. Its record names the gene U7. It matches the Rfam family "U7 small nuclear RNA". Rfam says of the family: Animal histone pre-mRNAs are spliced by a different mechanism than nuclear pre-mRNAs and self-splicing introns. This processing involves the U7 snRNP, which contains only one RNA species: U7. The record is from Ensembl. Lineage: Eukaryota; Metazoa; Chordata; Mammalia; Artiodactyla; Monodontidae.